Non-coding RNA from Cucumis sativus (cucumber), 81 nucleotides. The record is from Rfam. Lineage: Eukaryota; Viridiplantae; Streptophyta; Magnoliopsida; Cucurbitales; Cucurbitaceae.
AUGGAAGUGACGAUACUUUCCCCAAACGAUCGACGCUGAUUAUACUAUGCUGGUGUUUGCAACACCUUUUAUCUGAUCCAU